AGAGUUUGAUCCUGGCUCAGGACGAACGCUGGCGGCGUGCUUAACACAUGCAAGUCGAACGGUGAAGCCCUUCGGGGUGGAUCAGUGGCGAACGGGUGAGUAACACGUGGGCAAUCUGCCCUGCAUUCUGGGACAAGCCUUGGAAACGGGGUCUAAUACCGGAUACGACGCAUCUCCGCAUGGGGUGUGCGUGGAAAGCUCUGGCGAUGCAGGAUGAGCCCGCGGCCUAUCAGCUUGUUGGUGGGGUAAUGGCCUACCAAGGCGACGACGGGUAGCCGGCCUGAGAGGGCGACCGGCCACACUGGGACUGAGACACGGCCCAGACUCCUACGGGAGGCAGCAGUGGGGAAUAUUGCACAAUGGGCGGAAGCCUGAUGCAGCGACGCCGCGUGGGGGAUGACGGCCUUCGGGUUGUAAACCUCUUUCAGCAGGGAAGAAGCGCAAGUGACGGUACCUGCAGAAGAAGCACCGGCUAACUACGUGCCAGCAGCCGCGGUAAUACGUAGGGUGCGAGCGUUGUCCGGAUUUAUUGGGCGUAAAGAGCUCGUAGGCGGCCUGUCGCGUCGGAUGUGAAAGCCCGGGGCUUAACUCCGGGUCUGCAUUCGAU
Molecule: ribosomal RNA, 607 nt
Filed under: uncultured bacterium
Lineage: Bacteria
Description: bacterial SSU rRNA
Rfam family: Bacterial small subunit ribosomal RNA
Source: RNAcentral